GAUGAACGCUGGCGGCGUGCCUAAUACAUGCAAGUCGAGCGAACAGAUAAGGAGCUUGCUCCUUUGACGUUAGCGGCGGACGGGUGAGUAACACGUGGGUAACCUACCUAUAAGACUGGGAUAACUUCGGGAAACCGGAGCUAAUACCGGAUAACAUUUGGAACCGCAUGGUUCUAAAGUGAAAGAUGGUUUUGCUAUCACUUAUAGAUGGACCCGCGCCGUAUUAGCUAGUUGGUAAGGUAACGGCUUACCAAGGCAACGAUACGUAGCCGACCUGAGAGGGUGUUCGGCCACACUGGAACUGAGACACGGUCCAGACUCCUACGGGAGGCAGCAGUAGGGAAUCUUCCGCAAUGGGCGAAAGCCUGACGGAGCAACGCCGCGUGAGUGAUGAAGGGUUUCGGCUCGUAAAACUCUGUUAUUAGGGAAGAACAAACGUGUAAGUAACUGUGCACGUCUUGACGGUACCUAAUCAGAAAGCCACGGCUAACUACGU
Molecule: ribosomal RNA, 496 nt
Filed under: uncultured bacterium
Lineage: Bacteria
Description: partial 16S ribosomal RNA
Rfam family: Bacterial small subunit ribosomal RNA
Source: RNAcentral